UGGGGCCCCACCUGACACCCCACCUGGGGGCAGAAGAGACAGCAAGCGCCGAGCUCACACCCCAGGCCCCCUGCCCUCCUGGCCCUGGGCCUGGUCAGCAGCCCGGGGCACAGAGGGUCCACCCUGGCCCUCCUGGCUCAGGCCCCAGCCCUUCCCACUGGGAGGGCCCUCCUCUGAGCCCCGCCCUUGAGGACAGAGAGAAGGAGUGAGCUGCGGGAAGGUCUGCUGAUGCCUGCCCUUCUGGGGCAAUCCUGGCGCCCAUGCCACCCUCUGUAGCCCCAGCCACCCCUGGACGGAAGGUGCACAGAACCUGGGGAGCAGCCACGUGGCACCAGAAUGGCUGGGGAAACCCUGCACGCGUUAGAGGGGCGAGCCACACCAGCUGCCGGUCACAGGUAAAGCUCCCGCUGAUGCGACUGGAACCAGGAAAAGCCUUUCUGAAUCACACAGGGUCCUCCAUGUGCUUAUAGGAAGUGACAGAUUCGACCACAUGGAAAUCAAGUACUUGCUUGGGGAGGAAUACCCAGAUCAAACUUAAAAGCAAAUGUGAAACUGUGGGAAAAUAUUUCCAGUUCUAAUGUCCUUAAUGGGUGAGGAGUUCCUAUAGAUCAGUUUCUUAGAGGGCAAAAGGAUAGGAAAUGAUACGAACAGUUAGUUCACGAUAAAAAGAAAGACUGGUAAAAUAUGCUUGUUCACCUCACUAAGAGAUGUGCAGACUGAAAGCAGAGCAACGUGGCUGUGCAUCUCUCACCGCAAGGGAAGGUCUGCGGGUCAAGGAACCUUGGAGGGUUCUGGCCGGGCAUCCAUGGCUACCAUGAACACACAGCUGGAGCUCAGAGCACAGAGGAGACGGACGCACCCUCUGAGGCAGGAGGGUAAGUGCUUGGAGCCCCCGUACACCUGGGUGCAUCGUCGCAUCGGAGCAGGGGUGCCAUCACUAAGGAACCCUAAUAAAUCACUAUGGACCCACUAAGUGCACAGCACACAGCCUGAACAAAGACUCACCCUGGAAGGAUGUGAGGAAGAUUCUGAAGACCGCUAAGUGGAGAGGACACGCAGUCACGCUACGGGAGACAUAGUGGAUGUGCUAGACAACUGUGGUGCACCACCUCCAUUCUGGAAGCACAAUGGCUGGACUCCAGGAGGGGGACCCAGGGGUGGUGGGAGAGGACAGACCCAGCUGAGGCCACAGGGUGACACGACCCUCCCUCACAGGCAAGACACCUUCAAAGUAAAAGGCUCAGAACGAUCCUGACCUGUGACCUUGGGUCCCACCAUGGGUUGGAAUGCCAGUGACCCCACAGCUCUGCCCACUGCUUUCACCCACUCUGCUUCAUGUCCGUAGGCAGUUGGAAGCCCCCAAGGGUCUGUGAUCCUCACUUGACUUCCUUGCUCAAACCCACCCAACCCAACCCUAGUCCAUCAUUAGAGACAAGGCACAGCUCCAGCAGCACGGGGUCAGAAAGGCAUGAGUGGACCCUCGGUGUGAACGGGGACGAUGCGGCCCUUCCUCUGCGCUGUGUUCGGAACUGUGGACGAGAGACCCUCAGCUGCACAGGGCCCUGAGGUUGCACGCAUCCUUCCCCCGGCCAGUGCCCUCCGGGUCGGCCGUGUCCCCUGGGCAGAUCCCCAGCGAGAACCUGCUGCAAGAUCAGUGGCAUCACAGAGUCUGUGGUCUCUUGUGUCUGAUUUCCUCCACUGAGCAGCGUGGGCACCCAUGGCGGAGCCGGGGUCAGCAUUUCCUGUCCACAGUCCGGAGGGGCUGCCGUCACUCCCUGGUCUCACGUUGCUGGGAGGAGCCGCUCCGUGUGAUCUGGAUUUGCACGCGUCCAAUGGCCUUGCUCUCUAGAGCUGGAUAGACUUUGGAGAAAAGUCUGUCCAUGUCCUCUGUCCAUUUUCUAAUUGAGCUGCUGCUUUUUAUUGUUGAGUUAGGAGUUUUCAUAUAUUCUGUAUGUUAUAUAUAUGUAUUCUGUAUAAUAGGCCCUUUAUUAGAUAGGUGACUCACAAAUAUCUUUAUUCAUUGUGUAGGUUGUCUUUUCAUUUUCUUGAUGGGGUCAUUUGAAGCACAGAAGCUUUUCAUUUUGAUAAAGUCUACUUCAUCAAUUUUUUUCUGUUGCUACUGCUUUUUUUUCCUUAGUCGCACUGUGCAGCAUGUGGGAUCUUAGUUCCCCAACCAGGGAUGGAACCUGUGCCCCCUACAGGGGAAGCGUGCAGUCCUAACCGCAGGGCCACAGGGAAGCACCCUGUCGCUCAGGCAUCCGCUUCAGCAAGGCGUGCUCCUAGAAGCCUCAGGAGUCCCUGCCUGGCACACGUCUGACCUCUCCUUUCCUCACACUCAGGGCCAGGUGCGUGGUGUGCUCUGCUGCGGCUCGGCUCUUCUCCUGGGCCUCCUGGCUCCCUUCCUGUUCCUGCUCAUCUCACUGUGGCAGGGUCUCCCAGGCGGCUGGGAGGGGAGUUGGGAAGUGGAAGUGUUAGGAGUGUGCAUGCAAGCCGUGAUGCGCCAACCUGGGUGCCACCUACCCAGGCGGAGUAGUCUUCUCCCCUGCUGAUCAGACAGACCAGAGCACUUACAACAGGGAGCCAGCUUCACUCAUUUGUUCUCCAAGGCUCUUUGGUGCCCUGGGGUGUUUGGGUUUUCUGUCUUGCAGCAUUGGACAUGGAGAAGCUGGAGACCCUGAUGGCCCUGGAAUGAGCAGAAAUAACAGCCAAAUAUGAGCAAGUGAGGCCUGGCAGGGGUCAGAGCCCAGGACAGGCAGGGCCAGUCAGGGGCUCCAGUGGAACACGGGGAAGAUGCUGACCUCUCGCUGCAGGAAGUCACCACACCUAUACUGUGA
Non-coding RNA from Odocoileus virginianus texanus, 2834 nucleotides. NCBI's taxonomy places the organism in Eukaryota, Metazoa, Chordata, Mammalia, Artiodactyla, Cervidae. The record is from RefSeq and is a predicted model, not a curated record.